Molecule: ribosomal RNA, 240 nt
Filed under: Bacillus sp. (in: firmicutes)
Lineage: Bacteria; Bacillati; Bacillota; Bacilli; Caryophanales; Bacillaceae
Description: partial 16S ribosomal RNA
Rfam family: Bacterial small subunit ribosomal RNA
Source: RNAcentral
AUGGACAGAACAAAGGGCAGCGAAACCGCGAGGUUAAGCCAAUCCCACAAAUCUGUUCUCAGUUCGGAUCGCAGUCUGCAACUCGACUGCGUGAAGCUGGAAUCGCUAGUAAUCGCGGAUCAGCAUGCCGCGGUGAAUACGUUCCCGGGCCUUGUACACACCGCCCGUCACACCACGAGAGUUUGUAACACCCGAAGUCGGUGAGGUAACAUUUAUGGACCCAGCCGCCGAAGUCUAGAA